GUAAGGAAUAUUGGUCAAUGGACGCAAGUCUGAACCAGCCAUGCCGCGUGGAGGAUGAAGGUCCUCUGGAUUGUAAACUUCUUUUAUUUGGGAAGAAACCACCGAUUUCUAUUGGUGUUGACGGUACCAGAUGAAUAAGCACCGGCUAACUCCGUGCCAGCAGCCGCGGUAAUACGGAGGGUGCAAGCGUUAUCCGGAUUCACUGGGUUUAAAGGGUGCGUAGGCGGGUUGGUAAGUCCGUGGUGAAAUCUCCAAGCUUAACUUGGAAACUGCCGUGGAUACUAUCAAUCUUGAAUAUAGUGGAGGUGAGCGGAAUAUGUCAUGUAGCGGUGAAAUGCUUAGAUAUGACAUAGAACACCCAUUGCGAAGGCAGCUCGCUACACUAUUAUUGACGCUGAGGCACGAAAGCGUGGGGAUCAAACAGGAUUAGAUACCCUUGUAGUCC
RNAcentral lists this ribosomal RNA (445 nucleotides) under uncultured bacterium. Its description in RNAcentral is "bacterial SSU rRNA". It matches the Rfam family "Bacterial small subunit ribosomal RNA", at positions 354 to 796 of the family's 1533-position model. The record is from RNAcentral.